This 622-nucleotide ribosomal RNA is filed under the name uncultured marine bacterium. RNAcentral describes it as "bacterial SSU rRNA". It matches the Rfam family "Bacterial small subunit ribosomal RNA", at positions 879 to 1501 of the family's 1533-position model. The record is from RNAcentral.
AGUACGCACGCAAGUGUGAAACUCAAAGGAAUUGACGGGGGCCCGCACAAGCGGUGGAGUAUGUGGUUUAAUUCGAUGCAACGCGAAGAACCUUACCAGGGUUUGACAUCCUGCGAAUCUCUUGGAAACUUGAGAGUGCCUUCGGGAGCGCAGUGACAGGUGGUGCAUGGCUGUCGUCAGCUCGUGUCGUGAGAUGUUGGGUUAAGUCCCGCAACGAGCGCAACCCACGUCUUUAGUUGCCAGCAUUUAGUUGGGCACUCUAGAGAGACCGCCGGUGAUAAACCGGAGGAAGGUGUGGAUGACGUCAAGUCAUCAUGCCCCUUACAUCCUGGGCUACACACGUACUACAAUGCUACGGACAAAGGGCAGCAAGUUCGCGAGGACAAGCAAAUCCCAUAAACCGUGGCUCAGUUCAGAUCGUAGGCUGCAACUCGCCUACGUGAAGGAGGAAUCGCUAGUAAUCGCAGGUCAGCAUACUGCGGUGAAUACGUUCCCGGGCCUUGUACACACCGCCCGCCACACCAUGGAAGUUGGCCACGCCCGAAGCCGUUACUCCAACCCUUGUGGAGGAGGACGUCGAAGGUGGGGCUGAUGACUGGGGUGAAGUCGUAACAAGGUAACC